RNAcentral lists this unclassified non-coding RNA (375 nucleotides) under uncultured Rickettsiales bacterium. Its description in RNAcentral is "contains 16S-23S intergenic spacer region". The record is from RNAcentral. Lineage: Bacteria; Pseudomonadati; Pseudomonadota; Alphaproteobacteria; Rickettsiales.
UCCGGCUUGUCACCGGCAGUUCCUUUAGAGUCCCCAACUGAAUGAUGGUAACUAAAGGUGAGGGUUGCGCUCGUUGCGGGACUUAACCCAACAUCUCACGACACGAGCUGACGACAGCCAUGCAGCACCUGUCUCUGAUCCAGCCGAACUGAAGCGCUCAUUACAAGCGCGGCGAUCAGGAUGUCAAGAGCUGGUAAGGUUUUUCGCGUAGCCUCGAAUUAAACCACAUGCUCCACCGCUUGUGCGGGUCCCCGUCAAUUCCUUUGAGUUUUAAUCUUGCGACCGUACUCCCCAGGCGGGGUGCUUAACGCGUUAGCUACAAUACCGAAACUAAUGUUCCGACAUUUAGCACCCAUCGUUUAGGGCGUGGACUAC